This 252-nucleotide ribosomal RNA is filed under the name uncultured bacterium. RNAcentral's name for it is "partial 16S ribosomal RNA". It matches the Rfam family "Bacterial small subunit ribosomal RNA", at positions 524 to 776 of the family's 1533-position model. The record is from RNAcentral.
UACAGAGGUCUCAAGCGUUGUUCGGAUUCAUUGGGCGUAAAGGGUGCGUAGGUGGCGGGGUAAGUCAGGUGUGAAAUUUCGGGAGCUUAACUCCGAAACUGCAUUUGAUACUGCCUUGCUUGAGGACUGGAGAGGAGACUGGAAUUUACGGUGUAGCAGUGAAAUGCGUAGAUAUCGUAAGGAAGACCAGUGGCGAAGGCGGUCUCUGGACAGUUCCUGACACUGAGGCACGAAGGCUAGGGAGCAAACGGG